GAUGAACGCUGGCGGCGUGCCUAAUACAUGCAAGUCGAGCGAACGGACGAGAAGCUUGCUUCUCUGAUGUUAGCGGCGGACGGGUGAGUAACACGUGGAUAACCUACCUAUAAGACUGGGAUAACUUCGGGAAACCGGAGCUAAUACCGGAUAAUAUUUUGAACCGCAUGGUUCAAAAGUAAAAGACGGUCUUGCUGUCACUUAUAGAUGGAUCCGCGCUGCAUUAGCUAGUUGGUAAGGUAACGGCUUACCAAGGCAACGAUGCAUAGCCGACCUGAGAGGGUGAUCGGCCACACUGGAACUGAGACACGGUCCAGACUCCUACGGGAGGCAGCAGUAGGGAAUCUUCCGCAAUGGGCGAAAGCCUGACGGAGCAACGCCGCGUGAGUGAUGAAGGUCUUCGGAUCGUAAAACUCUGUUAUAUGGGAAGAACAUAUGUGUAAGUAACUGUGCACAUCUUGACGGUACCUAAUCAGAAAGCCACGGCUAACUACGUG
RNAcentral lists this ribosomal RNA (497 nucleotides) under uncultured bacterium. RNAcentral describes it as "partial 16S ribosomal RNA". It matches the Rfam family "Bacterial small subunit ribosomal RNA", at positions 28 to 507 of the family's 1533-position model. The record is from RNAcentral.